RNAcentral lists this ribosomal RNA (506 nucleotides) under uncultured bacterium. RNAcentral describes it as "partial 16S ribosomal RNA". It matches the Rfam family "Bacterial small subunit ribosomal RNA", at positions 29 to 523 of the family's 1533-position model. The record is from RNAcentral.
AGUGAACGCUGGCGGUAGGCCUAACACAUGCAAGUCGAACGGCAGCACAGGAGAGCUUGCUCUCUGGGUGGCGAGUGGCGGACGGGCGAGGAAUACAUCGGAAUCUACUUUUUCGUGGGGGAUAACGUAGGGAAACUUACGCUAAUACCGCAUACGACCUACGGGUGAAAGCAGGGGACCUUCGGGCCUUGCGCGAUUGAAUGAGCCGAUGUCGGAUUAGCUAGUUGGCGGGGUAAAGGCCCACCAAGGCGACGAUCCGUAGCUGGUCUGAGAGGAUGAUCAGCCACACUGGAACUGAGACACGGUCCAGACUCCUACGGGAGGCAGCAGUGGGGAAUAUUGGACAAUGGGCGCAAGCCUGAUCCAGCCAUACCGCGUGGGUGAAGAAGGCCUUCGGGUUGUAAAGCCCUUUUGUUGGGAAGGAAAUCCAGCUGGCUAAUACCCGGUUGGGAUGACGGUACCCAAAGAAUAAGCACCGGCUAACUUCGUGCCAGCAGCCGCCGUAA